CUUAGUACUCAGAUCGCAAGAAAUGAGGUCAAGGAAAAAAGUGCAUUUUUACCAAAGUAAUUUUGACAAUCGAGCUUGAGAGCAGAAACAGAAAAAGAAGAAGAAAAUUAUCGACGAAAUGUUUGUUUACAAACAAAUUCGGAUUAUUUUUUAGUUUUCUUGUCGUGCAGAGCGGAAUAUUUUAGGAUCCUACCAGAUCCUGCGGGCUAGCCAAUACACUACAGUAGCACCAGCAGCGCUGGUAGUGGAAGUACCCUCAACAGUAGGACCGGAAGCAGCAACGACAAGAAUUCCUCGCCGUCGGAACCGAUUCAAGCCGAUCCAGUUCUACGAUAUCGGCAAGUGCGACCAUCUGUGUCACUUCGAGUAUUCCACCCGGAUUCGGGUGCUGUGUCGGCAGAACGAUUGUCCCAUCUGUCGGCGGAAGUUGGCUAAGGUAAUCUUCUCGAAGACGCUGGAAGAAUCAGUCCGAGUUGAACGAUAAGUAGUAUCGGAUCUGCUCCACGGACGGAAAGGUGCAGCAGGCGUUUUUUGAGCUGCUGGACAAUAAGUGUCCCAGGUGCGACGAGAAGAACUUCUCCAAGUUCGACAUCCUGAGCAUGUCCGCAAGCGGCACGAGCUGUUCUAUUGCGACAUCUGCACAGAGCACCUGAAGAUCUUCUCAUCAGAAUGUCGGUGCCACUCCCGGCAGAACCUGGCCAUCCACCAGCGGGUCGGCGAUCCGGACAUCGGGGCCAUCCGCUUUGCGAGUACUGCGACAAAUUGUUCCUGGUCAAGGACGAACUGUUUCGGCAUCUGCGGAAGGACCACAUUUUCUGCCACUUUUGCGGCGCCGAUGGAACCAACUACUUCUACGGUGACUAUGAAUCGUUGCAGAAUCACUUCCGACAGGAGCACUACCUGUGCGAAGAGGGCGAAUGCGAGCAAGAACAGUUUACGGCGGUGUUUCGAUCGGAGAUAACCUGCGGGUGCAUCGAGCUUCAGCCCACGGCAACAGUAUGAAUAAGCUGGCCAAUAAACAGACCAGGGCUUUAGAAUUGGAGUUCAGUUACGGUCAUUCCGGUUUGCGACCUUCGGGAAGUGGCCCCGGCGAUGGCCGAAAUCGUGGUGGAGGAAAUAGCGAUCGCGGGGGUGGCGGUGGACACCGCGGAGGCUAUGGCACUCAGAUUUCAAUGCGUUUUUGUCUCCGGUAGCUGUGUGGAUGAGAGGAAAUUUUGAAGAUCACACCGAUUGGUUCCUCAGUGCCACCGGGACUGUCUGGAAGAGGCGGAAGCAAGACAUGUAUCCUGAGCACUACUUCAUCCCAUCCAAACUGGAAUUGUCUCCAGCCAAUGAGAUCCUAGUGAAAACACCCUAUAGCCUAAGAUGCAGAAACUAUGUGCUGGAGGAAGGAAGCGAUUUGCAGCUGGUGAUCCAAGCAAAUGAGUGUCCACGGUAUGAUCAUUUGGUGCUGAUUGGACGCACGAUUCGGUUCAUUUUGCUUCCGGAUCACGAAAUAGGAAGGUGAUUUUAUAAUGUAGGAAGGACUUAAAGCAGACUUGCUGGAUUGGAAAGGAGAAUUUGUGACUGAUAGCAUUUGAAAGAAGUAAAGAGAAUCCAGUAUUUUGAUCAAUGGUUUAUGAAAUAUAAAUGUAUUGUGGUUUGCCUUCAUAUAUAAAAAUUACUAAAAAUACUAAUAAACUGAAAGCUUCAAUAUGUAGGAGUAAGAACUGAUCUGUUAUUACAGCUAGUUAAAAUAUAUAUUAAGUGUAUGUAUA
Molecule: long non-coding RNA, 1757 nt
Organism: Aedes albopictus (Asian tiger mosquito)
Lineage: Eukaryota; Metazoa; Arthropoda; Insecta; Diptera; Culicidae
Exons: 2
Source: RefSeq, a predicted model, not a curated record